RNAcentral lists this small RNA (83 nucleotides) under Arabidopsis thaliana (thale cress). Its description in RNAcentral is "ATSL283680". The record is from RNAcentral. Lineage: Eukaryota; Viridiplantae; Streptophyta; Magnoliopsida; Brassicales; Brassicaceae.
AGACCGGCCAGCAGAUUAAGGAGAAGGCACAAGGAGCUACCGAAUCAGUGAAGAACGCCACCGGCAUGAACAAAUGAAUACAA